CCUACGGGAGGCAGCAGUGAGGAAUAUUGGUCAAUGGGCGGGAGCCUGAACCAGCCAAGUCGCGUGAGGGAAGACGGUCCUAUGGAUUGUAAACCUCUUUAGGCGGGGAGCAAUGCCGGGCACGUGUGCCCGGAGGGAGCGUACCCGCAGAAUAAGCAUCGGCUAACUCCGUGCCAGCAGCAGCGGUAAUACGGAGGAUUCGAGCUGUAUCCGUAUUUAUUGGGUUUAAAGGGUGCGUAGGCGGAGUUUUAAGUCAGCGGUAAACUGUCCGGGCUCAACCCGGGCCGGCCGUUGAAACUGGGGAUGUUGAGUGGGAGAGAAGGAUGCGGAAUGCGUGGUGUAGCGGUGAAAGGCAUAGAUAUCACGCAGAACUCCGAUUGCGAAGGCAGCAUACCGGCGCCCGACUGACGCUGAGGCACGAAAGCGUGGGGAUCGAACAGGAUUAGAUACCCUGGUAGUC
This 460-nucleotide ribosomal RNA is filed under the name uncultured bacterium. RNAcentral describes it as "partial 16S ribosomal RNA". It matches the Rfam family "Bacterial small subunit ribosomal RNA", at positions 338 to 795 of the family's 1533-position model. The record is from RNAcentral.